This 407-nucleotide ribosomal RNA is filed under the name uncultured bacterium. RNAcentral describes it as "bacterial SSU rRNA". It matches the Rfam family "Bacterial small subunit ribosomal RNA", at positions 28 to 415 of the family's 1533-position model. The record is from RNAcentral.
GAUGAACGCUGGCGGCGUGCUUAACACAUGCAAGUCGAGCGAAGCACUCUGCUUUGAUUCUUUCGGGAUGAAGAGCAUUGUGACUGAGCGGCGGACGGGUGAGUAACGCGUGGGUAACCUGCCUCAUACAGGGGGAUAACAGUUAGAAAUGGCUGCUAAUACCGCAUAAGACCACAGCACCGCAUGGUGCAGGGGGUAAAAACUCCGGUGGUAUGAGAUGGACCCGCGUCUGAUUAGCUAGUUGGUGGGUAACGGCCUACAAGGCGACGAUCAGUAGCCGACCUGAGAGGGUGACCGGCCACAUUGGGACUGAGACACGGCCCAAAAUCCUAACGGGAGGCAGCAGUGGGGAAUAUUGCACAAUGGGGGAAACCCUGAUGCAGCGACGCCGCGUGAGCGAAGAAGUA